Long non-coding RNA from Peromyscus eremicus (cactus mouse), 879 nucleotides. RefSeq lists it as uncharacterized. The transcript is spliced from 3 exons. The record is from RefSeq and is a predicted model, not a curated record. NCBI's taxonomy places the organism in Eukaryota, Metazoa, Chordata, Mammalia, Rodentia, Cricetidae.
UUUUCCAGCUGAGUAUUUUUGAAAGAGGAGACUGGAAAAUUUACAUGGCAAGUCUUAGCUGGAGGAAGUGGGACCUUGAAGGUGAGUUGAGAAGCAGAGCAAUCUUUCUGGAAACCAUACCCCAAAGAACUUUUCAGAAUCCCACUGGUUCCUGUCACUGCUCUGUCAUUCCUCAGCAGUGUUUCCUAGCACAAGCAUUGCUAUGGAUACAUCUCCAACAUCUCAGUGGACAAAAGCCGAAACAAAUAUGGGUUGGAGAAUACUAUUUUAAGGUGUGUUACUUUUGCUUAUGUUGCAUUUGUUUAACUCUGUAAAGCUGUGAAUAUUUUGCUUGUCUAAAACACCUGAUGGUCUAAUAAAGAACUGAAUGGCUAAUAGCAAGGCAGGAUAAAGGAUAGGUAGGGCUGGCAGGCAGAGAGAAUAUAUAGAAAGAGAAAUCUAAGAAAAGGAGAUCUAGGAGCCAGAGAAGGAGGAAGACAUCAGGGGCCAGCCACCCAGCUACACAGCAAGCCACGGAGUAAGCAUAAGAUUUACAGAAGAAAGAGAAUGGGAAAAGCCCAGAGGCAAAAGGUACAUGGGAUAAUUUAAGCUAAGAAAAGCUGGCAAGAAACAAACCAAGCUAAGGCCAGACAUUUAUAAGAAGUAAUAAGCCUCUGUGUGUGAUUUACUUGGGAGCUGGGUGGUGGGCCCCCCAAAAGAGUAAAAUACCAACAUCAUUUUGGCACACCAACAUGGCGUUCGAAUAUCCCUAAGGCCUGAAAAAGCUGAAAAAAAAAUACAGCUCCUUUAAGAGUUUUUGCUGGACAGUUUCUGCCAGACACUGACACCUUGAACAGCUAGUGAGUUAAGAAGGAGCAAAAAAAAAAAAAAAACAACUAA